GGUCUUUUGGUGAAUUCACUCAUCACAACGAAAUUUCAAUUCGUAGUAAGUCAAGACUA
RNAcentral lists this transfer RNA (59 nucleotides) under Trichinella zimbabwensis. RNAcentral's name for it is "tRNA-Glu". The record is from RNAcentral. Lineage: Eukaryota; Metazoa; Nematoda; Enoplea; Trichinellida; Trichinellidae.